UGGGGAAUUUUGGACAAUGGGCGAAAGCCUGAUCCAGCAAUGCCGCGUGUGUGAAGAAGGCCUUCGGGUUGUAAAGCGCUUUUGUCCGGAAAGAAAUCCUUGGCUCUAAUACAGUCGGGGGAUGACGGUACCGGAAGAAUAAGCACCGGCUAACUACGUGCCAGCAGCCGCGGUAAUACGUAGGGUGCAAGCGUUAAUCGGAAUUACUGGGCGUAAAGCGUGCGCAGGCGGUUUGCUAAGACCGAUGUGAAAUCCCCGGGCUCAACCUGGGAACUGCAUUGGUGACUGGCAGGCUAGAGUAUGGCAGAGGGGGGUAGAAUUCCACGUGUAGCAGUGAAAUGCGUAGAGAUGUGGAGGAAUACCGAUGGCGAAGGCAGCCCCCUGGGCCAAUACUGACGCUCAUGCACGAAAGCGUGGGGAGCAAACAGGAUUAGAUACCCUGGUAGUCCACGCCCUAAACGAUGUCAACUAGUUGUUGGGGAUUCAUUUCCUUAGUAACGUAGCUAACGCGUGAAGUUGACCGCCUGGGGAGUACGGUCGCAAGAUUAAAACUCAAAGGAAUUGAC
This 566-nucleotide ribosomal RNA is filed under the name uncultured bacterium. Its description in RNAcentral is "partial 16S ribosomal RNA". It matches the Rfam family "Bacterial small subunit ribosomal RNA", at positions 355 to 914 of the family's 1533-position model. The record is from RNAcentral.